Eimeria acervulina is the source of this 45-nucleotide non-coding RNA. NCBI's taxonomy places the organism in Eukaryota, Apicomplexa, Conoidasida, Eucoccidiorida, Eimeriidae. The record is from Rfam.
CAUUAGGCUUCCCUAGAAGCCACCACCAAACAAAACGAAGAAAAU